RNAcentral lists this long non-coding RNA (6779 nucleotides) under Phaseolus vulgaris (common bean). RNAcentral describes it as "long non-coding RNA (PVUL_LNC002828)". Lineage: Eukaryota; Viridiplantae; Streptophyta; Magnoliopsida; Fabales; Fabaceae. The record is from RNAcentral.
GAGUAAGGUAAGAAUCAAUGUUCUUACUCAUCUCAACUACCAAUUGCAACAAGGUGUGAGGAUCAGGAAUGUGGUUUUCUUGUUUCUCAAACACCAGUGUCCACUGCACCACACUGCCAUUUCCCUUUGGAGUAACUUGUAAAUUAAGUUUGAAGCUCUUUUUUCUUUGGAGUAACUUGCAAAUUAAAUUUAAAGCUCUUGUAAAGUCCCAACAGGUCUUCCUCUAAAACUUUGAAUUACAAUUUUCCCUAUCUAUGUCGUCAACCACCUCCCUUGCCACAACUUUGUUAUAAACUUAUUUCUCUCUAAUUUAUCAAAAACUUGGCAUCAAUAAUCACAAUGUCUCAAAUUAUUCAUGUAAAUAUUAUUAUAAAACUGAUUUUCUUUUAAUCCUUGAAAAUAAAUUGAAUGUGAAUAAAUAAAUAAAAGAAUAUAAUGCAUAAAAAUAAUACUUGAGUGUUACUAAAGACGUCAAAUAAUAUGGUUAAGCAAAUCAGAUUAUGACUAUCAUAAGAGAAAUUGCAAGGAAUGCAAUGUUUUGUUAAUAAACACUACAAGAAAAUCAUUAAAUCAAUUUUAGAAAAAAAAUAAUUAGUUUUUAUAUUGAUUAAAUUAGAUACUAUUUUAGAUACUAAAAAGAAUUAUUAGUAUCUUAAUUAGUUUUUAUUAUUGAUAAAUAAUUCCUAAAUUGAUAUCUAAUUAGUUACCAGGAUUUUAGCUGGGAAGUAUUUAGAUUUUAAAGUUGGUAGCUAAUUAAAUACCGAUUUAAAAACUAUUUAUCAAUAAUGAAAACUAAUUUAAAUAUCAAUAAUAAUUUUUUUUAGCCUCUAAAAUAUUAUCUAAUUUAGUCAAUAUAACAACUAAUUAUUUUUUGUCUCUAAAAUUGAUUUCUAUUUAAUGAUUUUCUAGUAAUGAAUUUAGAAACUAAAGUUUGCAUACCAAGUGUGUAAUUCCAGGAAAUGAUGGAUCCCUCAGUGCCCCAUUCUCCUUUGUGGAUUUGAACAGACUGUAUUUUUUGAGGUAAAAUGUUGGCAAUAUGGUGUGGCCUGUUGCAAAAAACAUCAUAGAACUGUUGGGCAGAAGCCUUGAGAUGGACAUUAGUUUCAAUCUUUUGAAGUUGAGAGCAUGCCAUUUUUGCCUCACUCCUAAGAAGGUAUGAAAAAUAUAUGUGGACAAUACACCUAUAUAUACUUCUCUUCUCUUGAAUUUGUCUUGUUGGAAUAUCCUAACAACAUAUAUUAUUUAUUAAGAGUUUUUGUUCUAUUAUAUGAAAAUAAAAAUAUAUUUAAAAUAUUUAAUAUAAGUUUUUAAUAAAAAAAUAAUUAGUUAUGGAAGGAAUAUAUGUGAUAUGUGAGCCCAUAAAUGAAAGGAAUAUAUGUGCUUUGAAGUUUAUAUGUGCUUUGAAGUUUCAGCUGAACCACCACUAGUGGAGGAGGCAUCUUCUUUCCUUUAGAUUUUAUGGGCUCACAUGGCAGAAAAGGGAUAACCAUGAUUCAAAGUUCAUAAUAAAAAUGGCAAGUGCAUAUUGUAAGUGCUGAUAGAAUUUUAAUUCUCCAUGUUACUAAAACAUUAUUUUAAUCCAUAGUGUAGAAUAUUCUAGUUUCUCCCAAUCUGAUUUUUUUUCUCUCUAGAAAUUUAUACUUAAAUUAAGUGUUAGCAUGUUUGAGAAUACAUUGAAGUUAGUUCUCUUCACACAAAUAAUUGAAGGUUAGCUUAAUUUAAUAUUUUGUAUAAGUAAUGUGAUUAUUUUACUCUAAUCACAAGUUUAGUCAAGACACCACCCUUGGUAAAAAAAAACUGUGGUUAGUGGUAGAUAAAAAAAAGGAAAAUUUCCUUAUGACACCACUAUUUAAAAAUACAUCUAUUCCACAACUAUUUUUUAUAUUAAAAUAAUAACUUUAUAUGGAUAUCAAAUGAAUGAAAUAAUAAUUUUAUACGGAUAUCAAAUGAAUGAAAAAAAAAUUAAUGAUAAAUGAUUUAAUGUAGCUAAUAAACUCCAAGCAUAAAAGUUUUAAAAUCUAUACUUAUUGUAGUAAUAUCAAACUCAUGAAUUCACUUAAUUUUAAUCGAAUCAAAUUUUUUUUCGCUCUAACAUAAGUUUUUAUUAAAAUAAAAUAAUGUUCAUUAAUUAUAUAUAUAUAUAUAUUCGAUAUUUUACUCCUAUAUUUAGUAGAAAUGUUAAGUAACUCAUAAGGGAAUAGUUAUUGUUUUAAGUGAAAGGUUAGGACCGGUUAAAGCACAUUAUUAAACCAAAAAGAAAGUAAACCAAAAAGAAAGUAAAGAGAAUUACAAGAAAUAUAAAAGGAUUGCCAAAACUUAUGAAAGAAAAAAAAAUUGUCUCACAAAAUGAAAAAAAAAGGAGAGAUUUGUCUUAUUUUGAAUAAAGUCAUAAGCUAUGAGUUUUUUUGGGAUGAUUGUUUUCACUUAGGUUAAAAAGUAUAAUGAGAUUGAUUUACUGUGAUAAUGAGUGAGACUCGUAAGAGUGUAGGUUAAAUAGUCUCUCAUUCUUUUGUAUCUCAUUCUUUGUAUAUAGUUUGGAACAUUUCUUAAAUAUUUCACUUUAAUUUUAAUUUAUCUUUUAUAUUAAAUAAUACAUUUCUUAUUGAAAGUCUAAAGAAAAGUCACAUUCAAUCUAUAAAAAAUGUCAUUCCAUUUUUACGAUGUACUCCAAAGCAAAUAUGAUGGAAAAUAUUACAACAACAAGAACUAACUUUGUAUUUGUAGAAUGUGGUUAGGUCAUAAUACUAGUCACUUUGCAUGUAUUAUGAGCAAUCUCUAUGAUUCUAUUUAUGUUUAAUCUUAAACAUUGUUACAUAUUUAAGUUAGUGCCAACAAUCCUAUACUUAUAUUAGUUGACUAGGUGAUUAGGUUCAAAAAAGAAAAUAAGAAGAAAAUACUCUAAGAGCAAACACAUUUCAUGAUUUAAUGGGGAUGACACAUAUUUGGAUCUUUUUAGCAAGACAAUUGGAUGAAACAAAUAUGUCUAUUUUGGAAUAACUCAAUUUGGAUUAUAUGUGAAUAGAAACUAAUUUUAGAAAAAAAAAUAAUUAGUUACUAUAUUUACUAAAUUAAAUAUUAAAAUAAUUAUUUUAGUCUCUAAAAUAGUAUCUAAAAAAAAUUAAUUAUUUUUUGUUUUUAAAAUUAAUUUCUAUUUUUUUGCCUCAAUCUUAAUUUUUAAAUAUUGUAUUCAUUAUUUCUUAUGGAAUUUGUGCUCGAAAAUGACACUGAACCACUCUUUGAUUUCUUAUCCAGAUUCUAGUAAUAAUUGGUUUUUAAAUUGAUAUUUAAUUAUUAGUUAUCAAAAUUUUAGCUUACUCACAACUUUAUAUUCUAACUUUAUAUCUAUUAGUCUUUUAGAGAUUAAUUUAGAAUUUAAAGUAUUAGUAACUAAAAUCUUGAUAGCUAAUUUAGAUAAUAAUUUAAAAAUUAUUUUAUAAAUUUUUAUUAAUAAUAGAAAUCACUUUAGUUACAAAUAAUUUUUUAAUCUCUAAAAUAGUAUCUAAUUUAGUUAAUAUAGUUAAUAUAGUGAUUAAUUAUUUUUUGUCUCUAAUUUUAGUUAUUAUUUGAUAAAUUUUUUAGUGUAAAAUAUAUAGUUUUUGAAAAUUUAUGGUAGAUAUGAUUUAUUAAAAUAAGUAAAAUAUAUUUGUUCAUUACUAUUUAUAAUUGAAAGUAAUUUAUAUUUUAUUGUUGGGAAAGUUCACAAAUUUGUAAGAAGCUGAACUUGAAAAGCUAUUUUCGGAAAACAUUUUUAAGGAAUAUUAUUUUUUUAAAGCAUCAAUCAAAAACCUUGAAACAAACAAUUCUUAACUUCUUAUUUAUGAGAAACUACUUUUUCUUUAUAUUAAAUAUUUCUAAUAUUUCUUAUGCCUCAUUUAAUCAAAUUAUUAUUGUCGAUAAAAAUAAAUCACCCCAAAUAUUUUUAUGUUAAAAUAAAAAUAUUAUUUUUAUAUCUUAAUUGAGGGACUUUCGCCUUUUUUGUGAAUACAAGUUGUUAAAGCGAAUGUGUGUUGCUCAAAUGACACAUCUCUAAUUUGAAUUAUAUGCUAUUAUAUAUAUAUAUAUAUAUAUAUAAUCAUUGAAUUAAUGUGUAUGAAAUGAAUGGAUACAUUGAGAUAUAUGAAGAUUGAAUUGAGGGAAUAAAAAAUUAAUAUUUGGGAUGGUAACAUAGUCAAGUUAUUUUCGUUGUUUUAAGUGUAAGAGUCCGUAAGAGAAUAAGAUAUUGUAAUUUUACUAAAUAGUUUAAAUCACAUAUAUUAAGGUAUCCCACAAAAUGAGAAACAAAAGAAGGUUAUUACGUCAAGUUUUCAUAUCGUAAGCACAAAAAAUCACCUCAACAUAAGAAUUGAGGUUGAAUUACCAAAAUUACUUAAUAUGAAUAUUCUAGAAAGGGUCAAGUUUGUAGCAAAAUUAUCUUGAUGCUAUAAGAGAUACAAUGUGUGUGUGUGUUGACUUUUAAAAUAAAUAAAAAAAACAUUAGCAAGGACCAAACCCAUGUUAAAUUAAAUAAAUUUUAAAAUAUAAAACAUUAGUCUAGGUCAAGCGAACGCUAAAUGAAAUAAAUUUGUAAAUAAAAAACAUUAGUAUGGACUAAACGAACACUAAAUUAAAUAAAGUUUAAAAUAAAAAAACACUGACAUGGAUCAAGCGGACGUUAAAUUAAAUAAUUUUUAAAAUAAAAAUAUUAGUGUGGGUCAAGUUGACGCUAAAUUAAAUAACUUUUAAAAUAAAAAACAUUAGUGUCAAUCAACUAAACUGAUGCUAUACUACUUUAAUUAAAAAACUAAUUUAAAAAUGAGUGACAAAUCGAUCUUAAAAAAUCAACACUAAAGAACUUCAAAUGUGAUAUGUGCAUUAUCUACAUUGACUUUGGUAAAUUACUACCAAAAAAAUGCUUUUUUUUAUUGAUUUUUGGUGAAACGUAGGACAUAUAACAUUAUUUUUAAAAAUUAACCGAUAUAUUUUGGAAACUUUUUACGUUGUUGAUAAUCAAUAUAGAAACUUCCCUAUUUUAUAUAUAUAUAUAUAUCAAGUAACCGAUGUAAAAAUUGGUUUUUCUAGUAGUUAUUUUAAUAACUAAUAAUAUUUUAUGAUCAAAUUUAGUAAUAAUUAAUUUUGUGACCAAUUUUAAUGAUAAAAGAAAUAAAAAACUUAUUUAAAAAAAUAAUUAAAAUAAAUAAGUAUAAUAUAAAAUAUUGAGUUUAUAAUUAAAAUAAAUAAUGAUAAUAUAACGAUGUAAGGCCAUAAGUGUCAAGUAAAGACUUUUCAACCUAAUUUGAAUUAGUAGUCAUUUUAAUUAGUAAUUGAUAACUAAAUAUUUGUUAAUUUACCACUAACUAGGUUAAUAAAUAUAAGCUUAGUAACAUUUAAAAUUUUACACAAAAGUAAAGAAGAUCGUUGUAAAAUGGAUGAUUGUUGAAGUUUGAAACGAUAGCCUAGCCGAAACGUCAGACUUCAUAGUAAUAUAUAACAUAAAUUUUUAAAGAAAUAAAAAAGAUUUCAAAAUGACAAAACACCAAACACAAAUUAUACAUAACAUAAAUUUUCCUAGCUCACUCCUAUUGGUUCCUGAUGCACUUUAUUAUAAGUACUUUAUACGUAAUAUUGAUGGAAUUAAUUAAGGGAUACAUCAAAUGUUAUUUCUUAGACAUCAACAACAUAAGAUAUGAGCUUUAUUUAUAUUUGACAACUAAUGAUCUAGUUGUUCUCUUGAGUAAGGUAAGAAUCAAUGUUCUUACUCAUCUCAACUACCAAUUGCAACAAGGUGUGAGGAUCAGGAAUGUGGUUUUCUUGUUUCUCAAACACCAGUGUCCACUGCACCACACUGCCAUUUCCCUUUGGAGUAACUUGAAAAUCAGUUUUGAAGCUCUUGUAAAGUCCCAGCAAGUCUCCCUCUAAAACCUUGAAGCUCAGUUUACAGUUUUCCUUAUUUAUGCCUUCAACCACCUCCUUUGCCACAUAUUUUUUUUCAUCUGUUGUUAUCCAAACUAAAAUUUUAGAUUCUUUAUAAACUUAUUUCCCUCUAAUUUCUCAAAAAUUUGGCACCAUUAAUCACAAUGUCUCAAAUUAUUCAUGUAAAUAUUAUUAUAAAGCUAGUGUUCUUUUAAUCCUUGAAAAUAAAUCAAAUGUGAAUAAAUAAAUAAAAGAAUAUAUAAUGCAUAAAAAUAAUAUUUGAUUGAUAAUAAAGACCUUAAAUAAUAUAGUUAAGCAACUCCGAUUAUGAUGCUCAUAAGAGAAAUAGCAAGGAAUGUAAUGUUUUUUUAAUAAACACUACAAGAAAAUUAUUAAAUCAAUUUUGAAGAAAAAAUAAUUAGUUUUUAUAUUGAUUAAAUUAGAUACUAUAUUAAAGACUAAAAAGAAGUAUUGGUAUCUAAAUUAAUUUUUAUUAUUGAUAAAUAAUUCCUAAAUUGGUAUCUAAUUAGCUAUCAAGAUUUUAGUUACCCACUAUUUAGAUUUUAAAGUUGGUAACUAAUUAAAUAUCAAUUUAAAAACUAAAAUGAUAUCUAAUUUAGUUAAUAUGAUAACUAAUUAUUUUUUAUUUUUAAAAUUAAUUUUUAUUUAAUGAUUUUCUAGUAAUAAAAGUUGAGCAAUGGAAGUUUGCAUACCAAGUGUGUAAUUCUAGGAAAUGAUGGAUCCCUCAGUGCCCCAUUCUCCUUUGUGGAUUUGAACAGACUGUAUUUUUUAGGUAAAAUGUUGGCUAUAUGGUGUGGCCUGUUGCAAAAAACAUCAUAGAACUGUUGAGCAGAAGCCUUGAGAUGGACCUUAGUUUCAAUCUUUUAAAG